Molecule: long non-coding RNA, 212 nt
Filed under: Homo sapiens (human)
Lineage: Eukaryota; Metazoa; Chordata; Mammalia; Primates; Hominidae
Description: HSALNT0184034
Source: RNAcentral
GCUGUGGAUCCACACCUCCAGUUCUACCAUCCCCAGAGGCUGAGCCUCGAGGACCACGACAUUGACCAAGGGGUGAGCAGUAACAGCAGCUACUUGAAGUGGAACAAGCCUGUCCCCUGGCUCUCAGAGAGAAGGGGUCUCACUAUGUCGGCCAGGCUAGUCUCAAACUUCUGGGCUCAAGCGAUCCUCCAGCUUCAGCCUCCUGACUAGCU